GUAUUUUUCAGCGACAACAUGUUUGGGGCGUUUGUCUUCGUUUACACACAGGUGUUCGGGAAACGCAGAUUGGUAUUUACCACAGGUAGUCCGUCUUCCAUCUGUUUUCCAUUAACAAGCGCUGUAGCAUGGAAAUAUAGGCCCGUGUGGGAAUCCUAACACUAUGGGUGGACCGGAAACCCAGUGACAACACUUGGGUCUGCAGGUGCCAUUUUCCUGCGGGAAAGAGAAAUGGCCCUGUAUUUACCAGAAAAGGUGCUCGUCCACCAUGGCAGAAGAGGAAGAUCCGGACUGUUGUUUGGGAAACAAGAACAAACAAUGAGGCGUGAGGAUUAGGUGUUGAGGGACCACAUGUCACAUUGUCCAAGUUCAACAGAGUGCAUCCCUCAGGCCUUCCGGUACAUGGAUAACCUGUGCCAGUGUGAUCCGAGCGCAAGAGUCCAGUUGUAGACUACAGCAGAUCGAGCUUGUGGACGGACAGAUCAGCUUCCCUGAAAACAGGUACUGACAGGAGGCGCGACAAAAACGCUGAUCCAGUGCCCCCCCCAUCAAAAAAACUGAUUGGAAUAAAACCUCAAAGUGACAACUUUGGGAGCAUGUGGUCCUUGAAAAACUCCUCUAGUCCAGCAAUAUGAGUCUGCCAAAGGUCGUCACGCUGGAUGGGGAUGGUGAUGGAGGCUAUGGUGGUCCACUCAACAAAGAAGCAACUGUCCCUUCCAGUGGAGAUGCCCUUGGACCUGGUGCCAGUAAGGAUAGUCUUCACGGUGGCGUUAAUACCCUCACUCCUCAUGGAUAUAGAAAUCCUUCAACUUCACUGCGUCUUCAAUGGUAAAUUCUCUUGCACCAUACGGACACUUGACCUCCACCACUGCUGUGGUGCCCACCAAACCAUCCGGUGAGAUACCCAGGAUCCCAUAGCCUGUGUCCCAAAGCCCUGACUCCUGCACAUCCAUCCCUGUAGCCAUUUUGAAUGCCUUGAUACCCUCAUCUUCAUUAUCUGUGCCCCACUUUACAGACAACACCCCAUCCAACGACUGUGAUUGGAGGACCCUUUUUUUUAUAGCAGCGACAAAGUAAUGCUCUUAGUCCUAACUGCUACAAAUUGCUGGCCGUCAACCUCCUCUCCUCAUGGUGUGUCAGUUGAGGUUGGUGCUCUGUCAAACGUUUGCCUGCUGUAUAGCCUCCUGCUGCUCCACCGGCAGCGCCAUGCCAGCCAAGAUGCCUGCAUGCCCUAGGUGCCCUUCUUUUUAACAAUGUCCGGUACAGACAGGUUCUUAUGGCUCAGGUUCAUGGAGCCAUGCCAUUCCACUGAACCUGCACCAGAGGCUGUUCCUUAGCCACUGAAGAUCCUCCUCUGUUGGCUCUCGGGACAGAGGGUUGUAAGUGUUCUGCCGGGUACAGGUCCUCCACUGACUGCACCUGGUUGGGCACGACUGGCUUCCUCUACUCGCAUUCCACAUACGUACAGCCAAUAACUGCAAAAAUAGCUAAUGCAGCCACAUGGCUACACUUAUGAGCUCCACGGCAGCAUUCACAUGUGGUAGAUAGAAUCGCCUGGUCACCAAUAGAGAAAUGCCAAGAGGAAGGAUUUUAAGUGCCACGUGCCUUUCAAUGCAUGACUUUGAAUGCCAUGAACUGCAUUUGUUGUAAGAAAUGUGUUGUAUAAAUAAAGUUUGAUUUAAUUAAUGACAUUACUGCUGUAGAAUAUUUAAUAAACAGUAAUUUUCAUGAGGACAAGUGCAGUUUUUCCGUAAAAUUUUAAUUGAUAACUUGGGAUUUUAUCACGUGAC
This is a long non-coding RNA of Oncorhynchus tshawytscha (Chinook salmon), 1790 nucleotides long. The record is from Ensembl. Lineage: Eukaryota; Metazoa; Chordata; Actinopteri; Salmoniformes; Salmonidae.